GCGCUCAUAGCUCAGCUGGAUAGAGCACUUGGCUACGAACUAAGGGGUCGGGAGUUCGAAUCUCUCUGAGCGCU
RNAcentral lists this transfer RNA (74 nucleotides) under Acinetobacter baumannii. RNAcentral describes it as "tRNA-Arg". It matches the Rfam family "tRNA". Rfam says of the family: Transfer RNA (tRNA) molecules are approximately 80 nucleotides in length. Their secondary structure includes four short double-helical elements and three loops (D, anti-codon, and T loops). Further hydrogen bonds mediate the characteristic L-shaped molecular structure. tRNAs have two regions of fundamental functional importance: the anti-codon, which is responsible for specific mRNA codon recognition, and the 3' end, to which the tRNAs corresponding amino acid is attached (by aminoacyl-tRNA synthetases). tRNAs cope with the degeneracy of the genetic code in two manners: having more than one tRNA (with a specific anti-codon) for a particular amino acid; and 'wobble' base-pairing, i.e. permitting non-standard base-pairing at the 3rd anti-codon position. Lineage: Bacteria; Pseudomonadati; Pseudomonadota; Gammaproteobacteria; Moraxellales; Moraxellaceae. The record is from RNAcentral.